ACCUGUAUCGAAAGUGCCGUCGGCGCGCCCCGUCGCCCCCGGCAUCGAUAGUACAGGAAGAGAAAGCCUCUCCGGCUUUUCCCGUGUCCGACGGACUGUUCCGGUCGGACCCUGGCGCCGGCGCACA
This is a non-coding RNA of Nerophis lumbriciformis (worm pipefish), 127 nucleotides long. Lineage: Eukaryota; Metazoa; Chordata; Actinopteri; Syngnathiformes; Syngnathidae. The record is from RefSeq and is a predicted model, not a curated record.